RNAcentral lists this ribosomal RNA (501 nucleotides) under uncultured bacterium. RNAcentral's name for it is "partial 16S ribosomal RNA". It matches the Rfam family "Bacterial small subunit ribosomal RNA", at positions 29 to 523 of the family's 1533-position model. The record is from RNAcentral.
AUUGAACGCUGGCGGCAUGCCUUACGCAUGCAAGUCGAACGGCAGCACGGGUGCUUGCACCUGGUGGCGAGUGGCGAACGGGUGAGUAAUACAUCGGAACGUACCUUAUCGUGGGGGAUAACGCAGCGAAAGCUGUGCUAAUACCGCAUACGCCCUGAGGGGGAAAGCGGGGGAUCGCAAGACCUCGCGCGAUUAGAGCGGCCGAUGCCUGAUUAGCUUGUUGGUGGGGUAAAAGCCCACCAAGGCGACGAUCAGUAGCUGGUCUGAGAGGACGAUCAGCCACACUGGGACUGAGACACGGCCCAGACUCCUACGGGAGGCAGCAGUGGGGAAUUUUGGACAACGGGGGCAACCCUGAUCCAGCAAUGCCGCGUGAGUGAAGAAGGCCUUCGGGUUGUAAAGCUCUUUUGUCAGGGAAGAAACACCGGCUCUAACACAGUCCGGGAAUGACGGUACCUGAAGAAUAAGCACCGGCUAACUACGUGCCAGCAGCCGCGGUAA